RNAcentral lists this ribosomal RNA (253 nucleotides) under uncultured bacterium. Its description in RNAcentral is "partial 16S ribosomal RNA". It matches the Rfam family "Bacterial small subunit ribosomal RNA", at positions 524 to 776 of the family's 1533-position model. The record is from RNAcentral.
UACGAAGGGUGCAAGCGUUGUUCGGAAUUAUUGGGCGUAAAGGGUUCGUAGGCGGGCAAGUAAGUUAAGUGUGAAAACCCUGGGCUUAACCUGGGACGUGCAUUUAAGACUGCUUAUCUUGAGUAUUGGAGAGGGUCGUGGAAUUGCUGGUGUAGGAGUGAAAUCCGUAGAUAUCAGCAGGAACACCUGAGGCGAAAGCGACGACCUGGCCGAAUACUGACGCUGAGGAACGAAAGUGCGGGGAGCAAACAGG